Molecule: long non-coding RNA, 3582 nt
Filed under: Gallus gallus (chicken)
Lineage: Eukaryota; Metazoa; Chordata; Aves; Galliformes; Phasianidae
Description: lncRNA (ENSGALG00010020513.1)
Source: RNAcentral
ACUCAAAGCAGAUUCAAAAGGUCACUGGGUUAGAAGUGUAAGGACCAGGAGCAAUGAAGUUCUCAUCAUCUUCCUUCAAGAAAUGCUUAUCUGGGCUUAAAUCCUCCAUCUUUAGCAAUGAAGAAUCUGGCAGCCUGAAUAGAAUACAGAGCUGUGAGAAAUGCCAGCUCAUUGCCUCCAUUGCCCAGUCUAUAUAGUUCACUCAUCACGUCACCAUAACUGCAGUAAUGGAGAUACUCACAGGCUUUCAUCUUCUAUUCUUGUCCCAGUGUUUAUGAAAGGAAUGGGAAGAGUGAAUAUGGAUCAGACACAGAUAAACCAGCCUGAGAGACAGGCCCUCGUGCCUGUAAUCCAAACCCACUUACCCAGAGCCUAAGUUUGGUAAAUGAGACCAUCAGUUAUUCCUAGAAAAGCUGCAAGGACAGGAAGAAGCAUGCACAUUCCAAGACCACUGCAGCUCUGAAAGGCCCCUCUUCCCAAAGCUACGGCAGGUCUCUCACCAUUUUCAGACAGCAGGUCACUAUGAAUUACUAAUUAUCAAAGCAGGCAAGUCAUGUCCGUUGUUGACCUACUGUGUGAGCUGGGCAGAAAACCAAAUCUGUUCCCACUGCACUGACUCAGGCUGUAAAGUGAUGUAAAUGUAAAAUAUGUGCACUGAAGAGGUUUGAAGCUUAAUAUAGAUCUUGUUAAAUGUUCAUAAAGAAUACUGAAGCCCUUAGAUUAAGAGGUACACCAGAGGAGAGUGAUAGGGUUAUAAAAUCCAUUUUUGCAAAUAACUCAUAUUUAUAUAGUGCCUUUCAGCCUACGGAUCCCAAAGCCUUUUUCCAGCAUAACACCCUGAUAUACUGUGUGUGCUUCACCUACCAGUUCAAGGCAACCUCCCCUCAAGUGAAAUGUGGCAGCUAUGUAAUAGCCCCGAGUAGUAGUAACUUUAAUAAUAGCAAGGCAUUUAUAUGGUCUUACAAACUUCAGAGAGUUAAUUCCCUGCCCCUUCAGGAAGCAGACAAGGUUUAUUAUUCCCAUUUCACAAAGGCAAUAUAACCAGAGUGGACAAGAGUGGAGAAAAUCUGCACUCGCAGAGAUUUAUAAAGUGAAAUUCCAUGCAUGAGCCUAAAGUGCUUUUAAUUCCACGUAGGGAAAAACAUAUCAACACGUCUUAUUAAAAAAGGAGUCCUUUACUAAAAAUAAUGAUGUGGAGAGAGCUCUGAUCUGGAUUCUAACACCUGCCACUUCAGCUGAAUAAACUGCCUCCUCAAGCACGUGUUGACAUAGAAACAUCAUGGUCCACAAAUGCUUCUGUGCCAUGAAACAAAUUGGGCGCUCAAAAUAUACUGCCAAGAAUCAGACAAUCUGUUUUAAGAGGACCCAAGAGUUAGUAAAAACCUCUUGAAAUAUAGCAGGAAAGAAAGCUGCAGCAACACCAAUCUCCGAGGCAGACUGGCAUUGUUCUUGCAGCUUUACAGUUCUUUUCAGCCCACCUGCACUGCACUGCAACGAUGCUUUCAACAAGGGAGAAAACUUGAUUUUGUUACCCCAAAAGGUUCUGCAAAACGUUCCUGAAUGUGGAGUCCUUCUUUGUAUGCAUAGGAGAAGAAAGGCACCGAAUCAUCAGGAUUUCACUUCUUCUUUAGUGAGAACUGGAGUCCUGUCCCCAGGUCAUAUUACUGUUCCUGUAUUUUUUACUCAGCAGUGGUGAAGAGGAAAAAAGGAGCGUAAAAGGACUACCUUACCCCUGGAAUCUCAAACAUCUUUUUAAUGAUGGCACUGAAAAUCCUCCCAGCUUUCAUUCUUCCCGCUCUUACCUACCAAGGACUUGUCCUUUUGCAACUUGAGCAAUUAUUCACAGCCUGAACCAGGAAACACCCUCAUCUAUACAUCCCUUUGCUCCCUAGGACUUUGCUUAUCUAGCUCAGAUUACGUGAAGUCGCUGCGAUCUCCCUCCAGCCACAGCAGGUUUUCAGUGGGGCUCCAACCACGUUUUUAGCCACUGUGACAACUCCCAGCCAUCUGCAAAGGGAUCUGCACCACUGCUUGUCCUUCCAGCACAGCCACACCCUGCCGUCACUCCCACAGCCCGGCCUAUGCCAGGGGCAGGUGGAGGCUGAGCCGUGACAUCUGUGCCCUGCAGGACCCGGGGAUGAGGUGCAGGGAGGCAAAAGAAAUGAACUGACCCAUGCCGAGCAUCAUCAACUCUCUGGCAAAGUGAUUUCCAUUCACAGUAGCACAUUUGCUGGAGGAAUCAUUUCCCAUUCAUCACUGCAGCUAUUGGAAUGUAACUUUGCCAGCCAGGGCUCGGCCUCUCUUUCCAAAACACCCUCAGUGUGCUAUAUAGCAUCUUCACGAUGCGCCACAUGGAUCAGUGCUCCUGCCUGACUCACUGACCUUCUUCACUUCACAGAAGCUGCUUCCUUUCAUCUGUCUGGCUUCGUUUCCCCCGGAGAAGCCUGCACUUCCACAGUCCCACUGCAGCCUCCGGAGGGAAAGGGUGUCUGGGGAAUAAAGGACAUCUUUAAUGCUCUCCUCGCUACCUUUUAGGCAGGCCUGGUGCCCUCCAGCACCCGAAUGCCAAGAAAGCAGCAUCAUGCAUGGGAAGUCACGCAUUCAGGGAAGUUUUAUGAAAAGCUAUUGCAGAGCUAUACAAACGCUGGCAAACACACCGUGGCCUGAACUCAUAGCCUGACCCUCAUUUAGGCACGUGGACAAGGAUACAGGGCCUAGCUUUGGUGCUCAGAAAUAAAACAUGAGCCUUUCUGACACUGUCAAAAGCAAAACCAAGCACAAAAUCAUUUCCUGGCACUGCGCUCACAGCAAAGAGCUUUUAACCUUUUCUGCUUUUGGAAUAAUUUGUUUAACUUUCUGGCAUUUCACUACCACACAAGUCAAACACACCAUCGAGUGUCUAGAUCAAGGCCCAGGGGAAAAACCUCCCUGGUGUACUUCAUGCACUUACAAAACAACAGAGAUGGUGGUGGAUGGGAGCCUCUGACUUUGCUUCCUUAGCAACGUGGAUGCUGGGAAACCGAACACAUGGCAUUGCAGGCAGCUGCUGGGCACGUGUCGCUGCUACAGUCCAGGAGAGGUGCAAUCUCAGCUCCACUGACUGACACAGCGGCAGCACAGCGCUGUGGGCUCCGUGGGCGCUGCAUCUUCCCUGCUCUGUCUGCCUGCAGAGGGCCCAGCUCUGUGGGAUGUGCUGAAGUUCAGUUUUGACCUUGAGUAAUCGGUGUAAUGAAGAGUGUCCUCAUAGGACUGAGCUACCACAUCAGGAGACUUACAAGCUUAAGGUAGCUUACAGGUCUUUAUUUAUAGCUCUCAGACUUAAGCCCAGACCCGGAGACCCAUACAUUUGGGCUUAGAGGUGUUUGAACUGGUGGAAGAAAAUGGAGAGAAACAGGAAAGGCUUAUAGACCAUACAUCUUUCAUCUCGACCGCAAUAAACCUAUUAGCUGUGCACAGGUUGCACUUCAGCAAGCCAUCCGGGACUCACUGCAUGAAUAGCCAGCCAACCAGUGGGAGGCAAAGUCAUCAUCGGCUUUUGUGUCCUUUGAUUACUGUUAUUCAAACUAAACAAAGAUUUGUGGU